GGAGGAGUGGCUGAGUGGUUGAAAGCGGCGGUCUUGAAAACCGUUAGGGCCGCAAGGUCCUCGCAGGUUCGAAUCCUGCCUCCUCCG
RNAcentral lists this transfer RNA (87 nucleotides) under Candidatus Omnitrophica bacterium CG11_big_fil_rev_8_21_14_0_20_63_9. RNAcentral's name for it is "tRNA-Ser". It matches the Rfam family "tRNA". From Rfam's summary of the family: Transfer RNA (tRNA) molecules are approximately 80 nucleotides in length. Their secondary structure includes four short double-helical elements and three loops (D, anti-codon, and T loops). The record is from RNAcentral. Lineage: Bacteria; Pseudomonadati; Candidatus Omnitrophota.